GGUGGUUUGUUACAUAGCUACACGGGUGCCAUGGCGGUUCGUUACAUAUGUACGUGGGUGCCGUGGUGGUUUGUCACAUAGAUUUCCUUUUCAUCAUGGACGGCAGAUAAAACAAAUUCGCAUGCUCUUCCUGCACAAAGUUGUAUCAUCUUUAAAUGUUUCCUGCCUUUCCAGUUAACAUUUCAUACGCUCUGCUCCUCCAUCCUCAAACUAUGCUGACGUCCCAAGGUUCAACUAUCUCCUGUUGCCUUCAUAGUUCAAGUGAAGAUAUAGGUGUGUCUCUUGGUUCAAGAUGCCCACAUAACCUAUGUAUGGUCAGCCUCUGUGUCCAGCUUCUGAGACAGACGCUCCCUGGGAGACCUGGAGGGAUGUGAUCAAACACAUGCAAACUACAGGGGCUGAAAGUGAGAAAAGGUGGUUUUCAGAGGAAAAUCUUCAGUGUUAACAGACAAAGAGGGAAUGAUGGAUGAACAGGCAAAACCAGCAGCUGUCCGGUGUAGUGUGACUUAUAACUUUUACCCGGGCUGAUAAAUAAAUAAUGGCUGGAGUCAUUAUGAGUGACAGAAUUCUUGUUCUGCAGACACUAUAAAUCUGGAUAAAAUAAGCAAUUCUCUGCUGAGAUGAUAGAAGAAUCUAUCUUCCCACACUUCGGCAACACAGUGAGAAAAGUGGCCUCUGAAUUCUUGAUUUUUCUGGCUUCAUCGUGAAGAGUAUUUACCGAAACCAUCAAUGAAGACGUUCAAAAACAGUUGGAAAAUGUGGGAUAGGGAAAUCAACGUACGCUGGUCCUCUUCGCCCCAGAUAUGAUCAGUGUUUCUGCUGUGAGAAGUGUCAUCUUCAUCAACCUUUUAAAAUAGGUUCUUCUUAAUAUUAUGGAUAACUGACAUUUUAAUGUUUUUUAUUAUUUAACUCACAAAAAAAUGUGAAUAUAAUCUCUAGAGGAGAGGGAAUUGGCCAAAUAUUAUACUAAGAGGUGUAGCUAACAUAUUCUGUAAGUUGGCCAUGAAUAAUAUAUGGGAAUAAAUGACAUAACUCAAAUAGAAGACUUUCUUUUGGCCCGGGAAAACAGAAGGAACUUGAGUAUUAAUCUUCUAUCUGCUGCGUCAUGAACUAUUUUUGAUACAUGAGAACGAUGGAAAAAUUGAGUUUUCUUGACUUUACCCCCAGUUCUUUUAAAAAAGACAAGUAAACCACAAAAAGCUAUUUAAGAAAAUAUUGUUGUCUCAUUGCCAGAUUAACAAUUAAAUGUUCCUACCUAUUCAUAACGUCAAAGAGAAGAUGAAUGGAAGCGAUAGUGUUGUCGGCGGC
This is a long non-coding RNA of Pan troglodytes (chimpanzee), 1308 nucleotides long. RefSeq lists it as uncharacterized. The record is from RefSeq and is a predicted model, not a curated record. The transcript has 3 exons. NCBI's taxonomy places the organism in Eukaryota, Metazoa, Chordata, Mammalia, Primates, Hominidae.